Molecule: long non-coding RNA, 237 nt
Filed under: Paramuricea clavata
Lineage: Eukaryota; Metazoa; Cnidaria; Anthozoa; Malacalcyonacea; Plexauridae
Source: RNAcentral
CCAAUGAUAAUCACCUAUUUGAUCACAAGAUGCCAUUUGGAUACUUGAUGAAAGUCACUAGUGUUUUCAUCAAAUAUCUUAAUUACGCAUGCAAAAUUACUUGAAUAGCAUUCCUAAUUACGUUAUGCUUGGUUAAGAAUUCUAUUCAAAUCGGCAAACGAAAACAUUCUGUUACGUCUCGAUUCAUUUGAGAAGCCAUAUAAACAACGAGAGCGAGUGUUUCACCGGGAUAUCCAA